GCUGACUAAAGCGGAUGACUCCCUGAGAUCUCAGAACUCUGUCCCGAACUGCAGGGCUUCGGUGACGGGACACAGAAUGUGAUGUAUGACCAGCAGAGUGCAGAUGAAGCAGGACAGACUUGUAGGUCUUACUGAUUCCUCCAGCUGCUAGAGAUGAUCAUAACAUGAGGAUGGAGAGACCAGCAAGUGUUGAGUCAGAGAAGGCCAGAUUUGCGUCAAAGCUUCUUGAUUCGUUUCUGAGCCAUGAUUGAGACUCUCCAUGAUGUUCACCCAGGACAGAGGGGAACUGUUAUCAACUCCACUCCAUCGACCCCUUGAGACCUUCCUGUUGUUAAAUUGCUUUUCCCUUGGAUCCAAGCACCUGCACCUCGCUGACCAGUAGUGACCAUCAGUCCACAGUCAACUGGAUCAUCACAACAUUGACUAACUUUUUAUUUACAAUUAGGAUCUGAAAACCAGAGGACCAGCUACGCAAAAAUCUACCUGCAAACUUUAAGCAGCUACCCUGACACUGCAGUGAUCCUGGACUGGGCUGAGCUGCUCUUCUUCUCUCCUCUUCCUCUCUCCUCCAGAGUGACAAGUUUUCAUCACCAGUAAAGACAAACAAGUUUGAGUAACUGCUGGAAAGUGUAUUAUAUAUUUUCAGUGUUCAUUUUGUUAUACUGUUUGGACUUAAAAUAAAAUGUAAUCUCUUUUGUAAUA
Molecule: long non-coding RNA, 702 nt
Organism: Poecilia latipinna (sailfin molly)
Lineage: Eukaryota; Metazoa; Chordata; Actinopteri; Cyprinodontiformes; Poeciliidae
Exons: 3
Source: RefSeq, a predicted model, not a curated record